RNAcentral lists this ribosomal RNA (253 nucleotides) under uncultured bacterium. Its description in RNAcentral is "partial 16S ribosomal RNA". It matches the Rfam family "Bacterial small subunit ribosomal RNA", at positions 524 to 776 of the family's 1533-position model. The record is from RNAcentral.
UACAGAGGUCCCAAGCGUUGUUCGGAUUCAUUGGGCGUAAAGGGUGCGUAGGCGGCACGGUUAGUCGGGUGUGAAAUCUCGGGGCUUAACUCCGAAACUGCAUUCGAUACUGCCGUGCUUGAGGACUGGAGAGGAGACUGGAAUUUACGGUGUAGCGGUGAAAUGCGUAGAUAUCGGAAGGAACGCCGGUGGCGAAAGCGAGCUGCUGGAUCCCUCCUGACGCUGAUGCGCGAAAGCCAGGGGAGCGAACGGG